CUCCCUUCUCACUGGAGCAAGAAAAGGGCCUUUGGCCCUUUAAGACACUGACUCCCCCACCGUAAUGGUUGGUUCCAUGUUCCCCUACAACAAUGGAUGAGUCCAAGGAUAAUUGAUUGGACUAAUUUAGCCAAGUGGCCUGUGUAUUUAAAGGGUGCCUGAUGAGAAGACUAGGAGAGAGACUUGCCAAGAGAGACACGACACGACACGACACGACACGACACGACACGACACGACACGACACGACACGACACGACACGACACGACACGACACGACUACAGGCUACAGACCUUUGGGGAGAAACAAAUGUACUGCUUUCCCUGUAUAACGGAGUGGUGUGAAACAGUACAUGUCUAGAUGCGUGGACACUUUUAGCUUCGUUUUGUUCCCUUGUUUUGUAGGCUUUGUUUUGUGUGCCUUUUCUGUGUGCCUUGUCUCUGUACCGUGUUUGUGUGCCUUGUAUUGUGCUUAGUGUGUGUAGGGAUUUGUUUUCGAUGGCCAGGUAAUGUACUUAGUUUCAGGUGAGUCUCUGUGCCUAGAUUGGGACCUGGCUUGGGCCGAACAGGUGCCUGUGAUUGGACCUUAGGACAAGCAGGUGCCCAGGGUACAGAGUACUGCAAUACCUCCUGACAUACUGCAGUAUUACAGAGGAAGGCUUUAGUUCUCUUGCAUCAGCACUGAGAUCAAACCCCUCACACAUGAGAGUGCUGGGGCUGUAUGGGAAUAACGCAGGAGACUCAGGAGUGAAGCAUCUUUCUUCUCUUCUGGAGAAUCCCAACUGUAAAGUGGAGAUACUAGACCUGGGAGAAUGCAGUAUUACAGAGGAAGGCUUCAGCUC
Molecule: long non-coding RNA, 839 nt
Organism: Clupea harengus (Atlantic herring)
Lineage: Eukaryota; Metazoa; Chordata; Actinopteri; Clupeiformes; Clupeidae
Exons: 3
Source: RefSeq, a predicted model, not a curated record